Non-coding RNA from Macaca mulatta (Rhesus monkey), 611 nucleotides. NCBI's taxonomy places the organism in Eukaryota, Metazoa, Chordata, Mammalia, Primates, Cercopithecidae. The record is from RefSeq and is a predicted model, not a curated record.
CACCGCGCCUUCUGCUCACAGCCCCCACGCUUACAGCAGCACCUGGGCAGGAGGAGGCCUCUGGAGUCUGUCUCGGGGCCAUAUCUGGUUCUGCCGCUCACUGUCUGCACGGCCGGCCAGUAUCACCGUGAGGUGCAGGGACAGCGGCACUGCCUCCCAGGCUCCAGGUCACCCGCCCGGCCAGUUUCACCGUGAUGUGCAGGGACAGCGGCACUGCCUCCCAGACUCCAGGUCGCCCGCCCGGCCAGUUUCACCGUGAGGUGCAGGGACAGCGGCACUGCCUCCCAGACUCCAGGUCGCCCGCCCGGCCAGUUUCACCGUGAGGUGCAGGGACAGCGGCACUGCCUCCCAGGCUCCAGGUCACCCGCCCGGCCAGUUUCACCGUGAGGUGCAGGGACAGCGGCACUGCCUCCCAGGCUCCAGGUCACCCGCCCGGCCAGUUUCACCGUGAUGUGCAGGGACAGCGGCACUGCCUCCCAGGCUCCAGGUCGCCCGCCCGGCCAGUUUCACCGUGAGGUGCAGGGACAGCGGCACUGCCUCCCAGGCUCCAGGUCGCCCGCUGGGUCUCUGCUGAAGUACGAGUCGUGAAUACACUGGAAGCUGGGAAGUCA